UGGGGAAUAUUGGACAAUGGACCGAGAGUCUGAUCCAGCAAUUCUGUGUGCACGAUGAAGUUUUUCGGAAUGUAAAGUGCUUUCAGUUGGGAAGAAAUAAAUGACGGUACCAACAGAAGAAGUGACGGCUAAAUACGUGCCAGCAGCCGCGGUAAUACGUAUGUCACGAGCGUUAUCCGGAUUUAUUGGGCGUAAAGCGCGUCUAGGUGGUUAUGUAAGUCUGAUGUGAAAAUGCAGGGCUCAACUCUGUACUGCGUUGGAAACUGUGUAACUAGAGUACUGGAGAGGUAAGCGGAACUACAAGUGUAGAGGUGAAAUUCGUAGAUAUUUGUAGGAAUGCCGAUGGGGAAGCCAGCUUACUGGACAGAUACUGACGCUAAAGCGCGAAAGCGUGGGUAGCAAACAGGAUUAGAUACCCUGGUAGUCCACGCUGUAAACGAUGAUUACUAGGUGUUGGGAGUCGAACCUCAGCGCCCAAGCAAACGCGAUAAGUAAUCCGCCUGGGGAGUACGUACGCAAGUAUG
RNAcentral lists this ribosomal RNA (524 nucleotides) under uncultured bacterium. Its description in RNAcentral is "bacterial SSU rRNA". It matches the Rfam family "Bacterial small subunit ribosomal RNA", at positions 355 to 896 of the family's 1533-position model. The record is from RNAcentral.